This 253-nucleotide ribosomal RNA is filed under the name uncultured bacterium. RNAcentral's name for it is "partial 16S ribosomal RNA". It matches the Rfam family "Bacterial small subunit ribosomal RNA", at positions 524 to 776 of the family's 1533-position model. The record is from RNAcentral.
UACGAAGGUGGCAAGCGUUGUUCGGAUUUACUGGGCGUACAGGGAGCGUAGGCGGUUGGAUAAGCCCUCCGUGAAAUCUCCAGGCUUAACCUGGAAAGUGCAGAGGGGACUGUUCAGCUAGAGGAUGGGAGAGGAGCGCGGAAUUCCCGGUGUAGCGGUGAAAUGCGUAGAUAUCUGGAGGAAUACCGGUGGCGAAGGCGGCAUCCUGGACCGACAUUGACGCUGAUGAGCGAAAGCUAGGGGAGCAAACGGG